GACGAACCGUGCAAACGUUGUUCGGAAUCACUGGGCUUAAAGGGCGCGUAGGCGGACUCGCCAGUCUGUGGUGAAAGCCCCCGGCUUAACCGGGGAAGUGCCAUGGAUACUGCGAGUCUGGAGGAGGGUAGGGGCAUCUGGAACGCUGGGUGGAGCGGUGAAAUGCGUUGAUAUCCAGCGGAACUCCGGUGGCGAAGGCGAGGUGCUGGACCCUUUCUGACGCUGAUGCGCGAAAGCCAGGGGAGCAAACGGG
RNAcentral lists this ribosomal RNA (253 nucleotides) under uncultured bacterium. RNAcentral describes it as "partial 16S ribosomal RNA". It matches the Rfam family "Bacterial small subunit ribosomal RNA", at positions 524 to 776 of the family's 1533-position model. The record is from RNAcentral.